This 571-nucleotide ribosomal RNA is filed under the name uncultured bacterium. RNAcentral describes it as "bacterial SSU rRNA". It matches the Rfam family "Bacterial small subunit ribosomal RNA", at positions 89 to 655 of the family's 1533-position model. The record is from RNAcentral.
CGGCGAGCGGCGAACGGGUGAGUAAUGCAUCGGAACAUGUCCAUGUCGUGGGGGAUAGCCCGGCGAAAGCCGGAUUAAUACCGCAUAAGCCCGAGAGGGGAAAGCAGGGGACCGCAAGGCCUUGCGCGAUUGGGUUGGCCGAUGUCCGAUUAGCUUGUUGGUGAGGUAAAGGCUUACCAAGGCGAUGAUCGGUAGCUGGUCUGAGAGGAUGAUCAGCCACACUGGGACUGAGACACGGCCCAGACUCCUACGGGAGGCAGCAGUGGGGAAUUUUGGACAAUGGGGGCAACCCUGAUCCAGCCAUUCCGCGUGAGUGAAGAAGGCCUUCGGGUUGUAAAGCUCUUUUGUCCGGAGCGAAACGGUGGCGGUGAAUAUCCGCCACUACUGACGGUACCGGAAGAAUAAGCACCGGCUAACUACGUGCCAGCAGCCGCGGUAAUACGUAGGGUGCGAGCGUUAAUCGGAAUUACUGGGCGUAAAGCGUGCGCAGGCGGUUUUGUAAGCCAGAUGUGAAAUCCCCGGGCUUAACCUGGGAAUGGCAUUUGGGACUGCAAGGCUGGAGUGUGGCAGA